Musa acuminata subsp. malaccensis (wild Malaysian banana) is the source of this 2507-nucleotide non-coding RNA. The record is from RefSeq and is a predicted model, not a curated record. Lineage: Eukaryota; Viridiplantae; Streptophyta; Magnoliopsida; Zingiberales; Musaceae.
GAGACCAUAGCAGCAGCAGCUGAAGCCGCCUUCCGCGACCACGAAACACACAACUCGCCCUAUCGGAGCGGAGACCGUGGAACCCUAUCGCUUCCCCAUGGACGGAUCUGGAGGAGGAGCGGCGGCGGAGGGGGACCUGGAGGCGGCGGAGAAGCUGAUCAUGCGGUGGGACUCGACCGCGUCUUCCGCCGCGGACGAGCGGAUGAUUUUCGACGGCGCGGACCGUUCCGACGCCGAGAGGUACCUCCGCGCCGUCGAUGAGCUCCGACGCUCCAUCAAGGACCCGGUCAUCGUCGGAAGCCCCCGGAGAUCGUCCUCCUCCUCGUCGCACUCCUCCUCGGAGAACGCGAUCCAAAUCGCCAUGGCGCGGCUGGAGGACGAGUUCCGCAACCUGCUGCUGACCCGGGCCAACGAGGUCGAGGUCGACGCGCUCGUCGAUCUGAGCUCGCUCUCGUUGAAUAGCUCGGCUUCCAUGGACGGGUACGGCGAUCUGUCUGACGCCGAGGGCGGCGGCGGCGGAGACGGUGGUGGAGAGGGAGAGGCCUUUUCGUCAGAUUCGGUGGGGGCGAGCAGCAGCAUACGGCGGAGCAGCAUACGGUCGACGAGGAGCAUCCGGGAGAUCGAUCUGCUGCCGGCUGACGCGGUCGAUGACCUCCGGAGCAUCGCGGAGCGGAUGAUCGCCGCCGGGUACGGCCGGGAGUGCGUCCAGGUGUACGCCGGCGCCCGGAAGGCGGCGGUGGACGUGUGCUUCCGGAAUCUCGGCGUGGAGAAGCUCAGCAUCGGUGAGGUCCAGCGUCUCGAGUGGGACGCCCUUGAGGCCAAGAUACGGCGCUGGAUUCGCGCCGCCCGGGUCUGUGUCCGGAUCAUCUUCGCCAGCGAACGCCGCCUCUGCGAGCACAUCUUUGAGGGCCUUGGCAUCGCCGAUGACGCCCCUUUCAUUGAGACUGUCAAGGGCGCGUCCAUCCAGCUCUUUGGAUUCGCCGAGGCCAUCAGCAUCGGUCGCCGGUCACCGGAGAAGCUCUUCAAGAUCCUCGACCUCCACGACACCAUCUCUGACCUCCUCCCGGACAUCGCCGUCGUGUUCCUAUCCAAGUCUGCCGAGUCCAUCUACACCCAGGCCACUGAGAUCCUCUCCCGGCUCGCGGAGGCCGUCCGUGGCAUCCUCUCCGAGUUUGAGAACGCAGUAUUUCGAGAUCCACCCAAGACACCGGUGCCUGGCGGCACAAUCCAUCCCCUUACUCGCUACGUGAUGAACUACAUCAGCCUCAUCUCAGAUUACAAGCCGACGCUCAUCGAGCUCAUAGUUACAAGGCCAUCUGCGAGCUCCCGGUUCUCUGGUGAUGAUCUCGCAGCUGCUGGUGCUGCGGUGCCAGAGCUUGAUUUCCCGGUGUCCGAGAACCAGACUCCCCUCGCCGCCCACCUGAUCUGGAUCAUAGUUGUUCUUGAGCACAAUCUCGAGAACAAGGCGAACCUUUACAAGGAUAAUGCCCUCUCCCACCUAUUCUUAAUGAACAACGUCCACUAUAUCGUCCACAAGGUGAAGGACUCACCUGAGCUCCGGGAAAUGAUUGGUGAUGACUACUUAAGAAAGCUCACCGGGAAAUUCCGGCUGUCUGCGACGAGCUACCAGAGGGCCACGUGGAUGAGAAUCCUUCACUGCUUGAGAGAUGAGGGGAUUCAUGUUAGUGGAAGCUUCUCAUCAGGCGUCUCUAAGUCCACUUUGCGGGAGAGGUUCAAAGCUUUCAAUGCUGCUUUCGAUGAGGCUCAUAAAACCCAAGCGACUUGGUAUGUGCCAGACACCCAGCUGAGAGAGGAGUUGAGGAUUUCAAUCUCGGAGAAGUUGUUGCCAGCAUACCGGUCUUUUCUUGGCCGGUUCCGGCUACAUAUAGAGAAUGGGAGACACCCCGAGAUGUACAUUAAGUACUCGGUUGAGGACCUUGAGAUUUCUCUGUCUGAUUUUUUCGAAGGGUGUGCUCCUUCUCUACACAACAGAAGAAGGUCUCAUUAAAAUCACAUGAUGCUUUCAGGACAGGAGACUGAUGAUUGUGUAAGCUGAUAUUCUUUAAAUUCUUAAAAGAGGGAAGCAAUAAGGAGACAAGUUUUAGCAGCACUGAUCUUUGGAUUAUUCAAGAACUUAGUGUUAUUGAUGGAGAGUUCAGAGACCCCACAUAAUAUCUGUAUCUGAUAUGAAGAUCUUGUUGGAGGACUCAAAUAACCCAUGGUUAUAGUUUCCCUCUGAUGCCCCAUGUAGUAAAGUAGAGGAUGCCCCAAGCUUUAUUCUUGCGUCAACAGAGAUCAGCUAUUGUCUUUGUACACGAAAUCACCAGUAAAGGUCUUGCCAAUGCUGUAAAUGUAUCUCUAGCAUUAAUUUCCCUUUAUAUUUUAACUGAGAGAGUAACUUUCUACAUUUUUUGUGUUUUGUUAUUUAUCAGAAACACGAUGUUAGGCAUUGAAAAGCUAUUGUUGGAUUGAUGUGGCCAUUGGCUUCAUUAACUUCUGUACAUUCU